UUUUUUUUGUGGGUCAGGCAGAAGCCCUGCCGUGUUUUACAUCUGCAUUUCCGUGGAUGUGGUUUAAGGGGUGCUUGUUUUCUGCAGGAAUGAGUAGACUCAUAUGCUGCUCUUCUGUCUGAAAGCCUCCUUCCCACUGUAAUUAAUGCCUUAUCAUACAUUCUGCAGGGAUGCAAGUUCCUCUUCUGUUUGCCUUUGUUCCUAUAUUUUCUUUACUGACUUAAUGUGUUUUCAAACGCGAGUGGUGAUUUCACACCAGCCCGUGCUGCCAGCAUGACCACUCUGUCCCUCUGUUCCAGCCCUGCAGACACCACAGGGUGUCCUGUGCUAGCACCACACCUUCACAGGCCUCAAGGGUUUUGUUAUUCCCAAUUCUCAUGAGCCUGAGAUCACAGUGAGAUCAUUUUGACUCGGUUCAAUGGGCUGAGGAGCAGCACAGGCCAGGGGAGCUGGCUGCGUGACAUCCAUGUGAUGCUCUCAUCUGAGCCACGCUCCAGCCAGGUGGGGUCAGCUGGGUCACAGCAGGGCUCACAGCACUGCCACUGGCAACAGGGGCAGAAAGAUUCCUUCUUCUCCUGGCAAGUCAAGCCACAGCUUUAUGAGACACAAGCAGAGCAUUUCACAUCAGUUCCUUCCAAGGCAAAGAGAGGUAAAUGCUGAGAACAGCAGUUCUGCUGACUACCUUGCCUUGUUUUAUUCUCAAAUAUUUGCAGCCUGGUUGUGCUUGUUCAGCACUGCCUCAGCAUGAAUCUCUUGAAUGAAUUCAAGUUCCAUCAGGAAUUUCUUCGCUGUGUUUGUCAAAGAAUAGACCAGUAAGUGCAUGGCUAGAAGAAUUCCCAGUGUAUUUCCUGAAGGCAAUUUUCACAUCUUUACAUUUUUCAUUUGGUCAGCCUCAGUGUAGAGUAUCUGCUGAGAUUGCAUCUGUCUCCAAAGACCCAGCAUCACUGGACAUUAGCUGCCUUCACCUGCCCAUGUUCUUCCAUCCUCCUGCCCUUCCCAACUCAUUUCACUUGUCAUCUUCUCUCUAGUGAGAGCUCUGCUAAAUACUUAUUUUUGUCAACUUAUAAAAUAUUCAUUGUUACUCCUUGUUUUAAGCAAAGAAUAUUUUUAAAUUACAUGUUCUUUGAUAGAAAAAAAUGCCUCAAUUCAUGUCAGUUUUUUAGAAGGGCAGCAUAUUUGCCAUGGAGUGAUAACCAGGAGUUAGAAAAUCACCUGUGGAAGGACCAACAUGGAUCUGGAGUCUGUCCCGUGGCUGUGACUGGGAUGUGACUCAUGAUUUCCACAUGUGAUCCAUGGGCCAGGACAGCUUCCAGGGCAUCCAGAGGGAAGCCACCACAUUGCUACUGUGUUGUAGAGCAUAUUGUGCACAUACUGAGCAGUAGAUAUAGAUAUAGAUAUAGAUAUAGAUAUAGAUAUAGAUAGAUAGAUAUAGAUAUAUAGAUAUAUAGAUAUAUAUAUAUACAGAGAGAGAAAGAGAACAUACUCUAUAUAUAUAGAGAAUAUGCUGCACUUACCAUCUCCUUACCAGUCCACAGGUAAGGGGGCAGCCUGUCCACAAGCAGUGGGCAACAAUUACCUGAGAAUUAAACCUCAGUGGUUUUUUAUUGAUUUUUUUUAAAUUUUAUUUUGUAAACUGAAGAAUCAAAACAAAAAUCUAUAGACAGACAAUUUCCUAUUGUGAAAAUUUGAGCUUCAAUGACAAAAUUGUUUAUAAAGGGGCAGAAGUAUUCAACUAGUGGUUCUGCACUGUAUAUAUGUGUUCUUAUCACUCAAUAACCCAGAAAGCUGUUAAGCAACACAUACUAUGGUAAGCACUAAAAUCAGCAGAGCCAUAUAACAAAAGAUGGUGAAGACUUGAUUGGCCUAAACAUACCAAUUUCUCUUAUAUUUAAUAUCAAAGAAAUUCCAGCAGAUUAGAGUUUGCUGUUCUACCAAUAUUUUAAAAGGAAGAAAUGUGGCAAACUUGAUUCUAUGACAAGUAAAAUAAUGGAAAACCUGAAGGGGGAUUAAGUUAAUAAAAUAAUUACCAUAUAGCAAUACAAAAAAUAUCAAUCAGAAAUUUUACAGAAAAUACAGUUUGUCAGACAAACCUGAUUUCAUUCUAGGUAUUCUCAAACUCUGAUUUUGGCAUAUAUGUGACAUGCAACAUAGACAUUUGCCUCUAACACAUCAUAUUUAGUGUCUCAUGACACUGAGAUGAAAAAAAUUAGCAUUCUAUCAGCAAACACACUCAGGAAGCCAUCAGUGGAGAAAACAUUCUCUGUGCUUUAGGGAUGUUAAGGAUAAUCCUAAACCUGCCACUGCUUAUUAUUUUCCUCAGUGAGCUGGAAAUAAUUUUAAAAUCUCUUCUAUUAAAAUGUGCAGAAUUGGUGGACUGGUAAAUUAGGUGAUAACUGAUAUAAUCUGAAAUGCUUAAUAAGUUUAAACCAGACUGUUUUGCUGACCCAAAUAUGCAACAUCUCCUUCAAAAAUGAGAGAGAUUUUAUCAUCCUAGGCCAGACAGAGCUGAGGGAAGGUGUGUGCUUUACUCUCCACACUGGCUGAUUGCUCUCAUUAAAGGCUGACCUUAACUGAUGUAUUUGGGAGAGAAUUGAAAUUGUUCUAGAUGCCACAGAGUGUCACUGGAAGAGUAAGAAAAUGUGAGAUCAUUAUAACCUUAAUAUAUCAGAGAAUUGAUUCUUGUCUAGUCCUCCUGUUAAAAAAGCUAGCUCCAAAUGCCAGCCUGCCUAAAAAAUGGAAACUGUGUAUGAGCAUUCAUCUGCAGAAACCAUAUGUCAAAUUCCUACUUUCCUUACAGGGCACACAGUAACCAAAAAUGAGCCAAAAUACUGAAUUCAAAGCCAGAGAAAAGUGUGGUACAACAGGAAACUGAACCAACUCAAUGUUUAGCAUGUCAGUGAUGAGCUUAAAAUUUGGAGCAAUUGCAGUAUUAUAGGCUUCUCCCAAGUGGAGGAAAAUGUUUUACGUCAAAACAAAUAUAAUUUGUGUCUGAUCACCAGGGAGAGAUUUAAGGGUAUGGUUUACUUUGAAGGAAGGUUUGUGCAUAUACAUGUUAUUUGGGAUGACCAAACCAUGGUCUAUGGUUUUGUUGCAUGCUGUACCAAGAUCCUUUAAGUCAGAACAGCUGGUGCCAUAUGAACUGCCCUCCAAAAACAUACUUGUCUGAGUGUCAUUAAAUAAUGAUUUUUUUUUCUAAGCCCACACAAACACUUGGCUUUUUCCAUCCACUUUAUCAAUGAUGAGUGUUUGCAAAGUCCAGAACUGAGCACUGGCUGUGUUUCACUAGUGUGAGGGAGAAGCCAGGAAAAACAUAUCUCCUGGGGAGUAUUCCCAGCUGUAAAUUUAUUUUUGACACGUAUAGGAUGGAAUUGGGUUUCUGUGCUUGUUUUGAUCUCCUUACAAAUUCUUAUUAAAGAGAUGCCUUCCAGCCCCACAGAACUGCAUAUUCUGUUCCAGUCCUAAAUCUGUGGGUGAGUCCUGCACCCAGAAGUGUGGGGCAGUGGGACAAACACACCAGUGCCUCAGACACUCAGCAAGCAGCAGCCCAGUUCUGUGCUCAAUACAUAAAUAUUUGCCUGGUUGCACUGUGCUCUGUGGCAGAUUAAAACCAAGUAUUUUUGUCACAGCCAUCAGUUGCACUCAGUGCUGUUCAUCCAAGGCACAGCCCCUGGGC
Taeniopygia guttata (zebra finch) is the source of this 3673-nucleotide long non-coding RNA. NCBI's taxonomy places the organism in Eukaryota, Metazoa, Chordata, Aves, Passeriformes, Estrildidae. The record is from Ensembl.